GCGAUGAUGGUGGUGGUGAUGGAGGUGGAGGGGCGAUGAUGGUGGUGAUGAUGGAGGUGGAGGGGUGAUGAUGGUGGUGGUGGUGAUGGAGGUGGAGGGGCGAUGAUGGUGGUGAUGAUGGAGGUGGAGGGGUGAUGAUGGUGGUGGUGGUGAUGGAGGUGGUGGAGGGGUGAUGAUGGUGGUGGUGAUGGAGGUGGAGGGGCGAUGAUGGUGGUGGUGGUGGUGAUGGAGGUGGUGGUGAGGGUGAUGAUGAUGGUGGUGGUGAAGACAGUGUUGGUGAAUAGUCAUUUCCCAAAAUAGUCAAUUAAACACUUCAACUCACAUAUUAGAGGCUUGAAAGGUCUCUACCGAUCUUCUCUGAGUCUUAGCUUCCUUUUGGGGGUCAAUAUUUGGUUAAUCUGAUCACAAAGAUGUUCUUCGAUUAAAACUUGAAAAGCACUUUCAAGAGAAAGAACAGAAGUGAAGUUGAAGCAACUGUUUAAGAUUGGUGUUUCUCUCCACCAAUGAGUUUUUAUUCUUCAUUAUUAUUUUCAUUCUAAUCAUGGUCACUGAAACCAUUUCAGAGUAUUAUAGGCAUCCAAGGAGGCCAAACAGCCAGUUCCUGGAGCCUCUCGUGAAGAUAUGAGACACUUUUUUAGUGAGGUUCAUAAACGUCUUGUUGCUGUUUUUCAGUCACUUAGUCAUGUCAGACUCUUGGCAACCAUGGGCUGCCAGCACGCCAGGCUUCCCUGUCCUUCACUAUCUCCCAGAGUUUGUUCAAACUCAACGUCCAUUGAGUCAGUGAUGCCAUCCAACUAUCUCAUCCUCUGUCACUCCUUUCUCCUCCUGCCCUCAAUCUUUCCGAGCAUCAGGAUCUUUUCCAAUGAGUCGGCUCUUUGCAUCAGGUGACCAAAAUAUUGUAGUUUCAGUUCAACACCAGUCCUUCCAAUGAAUAUUUAGGGUUGAAAAUGUCUAGGACAGAGAAGUGUGCCCUGUAAGGGCCUAUUACCAUAAAUAGAGAGAAAUCCUUGUCCUGUAUGGUUUUGUGUAACUGAGGAUGAGAUCCUCAUAGGCAGUUUAUUUGCAUUUCUCUUCCCCCACCUUCUGGGCUCAGCAUAGGAUUGAAUGGACCAGACCACUGUGUAGUCAGGUGUGAUCACGUGACUUUUUAACCAACGAGAUGUGAGGGGUGACAGGUGUCACUUCAGGACAGAAGCUAUAGAAGUCAGGGCAAGCUUCCCCAGGUCCCAUUACCUCCUGCUGCGGUGAGUGUGGGACCACGUACAGCAAAGACCCCGCCAUCCAGCAUCCAUAAAUGUCUACAAUUGAAGGACACCCUUGCAACCGACGAUGGACAAGAAAUGGGAUCAAGGAGCAAAAUUGUUAUUGUAAGUCACUGAGAUUUUGAUGGUUAUUUUCUAUUUUCAUAGCAUAACCUUCUCUACCAGAACAGAUACAACUGGCAAAGAGCCAAAACAAGAGAGUUGAAAGUCAGUGGUGGUCACAUGGGAAAGAAAGAAUCUACAUCUUUCUGAGAAUGAACCAAAUCCUCAAAAAGACUCUGUGAUCGAAUUGCUAACUCUGAGACAUUUAAUCGUUCCCUAGCGAAGGUCUCUUUGAGACAAAAAGCGCUCAGGAAAAAGGUUUGACAUGACCUGCAAGCAAUUGGAAGUCACCAUAACCCACUCGGAUGGCGAGGUAAUGUGGCGUCUCUUUGGCUGAGUUUUAUUUCCAACAAUACAGCACCUUCUCACCACUGUCCAGCAGACAGAUUCCUUCUCAUCUCAUCUGCAGAAUUGUUCAUUUAAAGACGGCACUGCUCAAGAUAUAAGCCUCCUUUAAGGAACUCUACUUUUAAGAAAACCAAGUCUCACAAAAUUAGUACAUUUCCACAUUCAAAGUGAGGUGGCAAAU
Bos taurus (domestic cattle) is the source of this 1893-nucleotide long non-coding RNA. Lineage: Eukaryota; Metazoa; Chordata; Mammalia; Artiodactyla; Bovidae. The record is from Ensembl.